Molecule: small RNA, 773 nt
Filed under: Pongo abelii (Sumatran orangutan)
Lineage: Eukaryota; Metazoa; Chordata; Mammalia; Primates; Hominidae
Description: processed transcript
Source: RNAcentral
CAAAGGAAUGAGACCCUCUCUCAAAAGAAAAAAAAAUUAUGUAAAUGUAACAAAGUGAUGAAGCAGGUGAAGUUGAGGCUGUCACAGGGAGGCCUUGCCCGGUGUAGGGGCAAACAAACUCCCUCUAGGUCAUGUCCUUGAGAGUUAAAAGAUGGGUUGAGUAGGCAGAGGUCUCAGGCACCGGGGACAGAAGACAAGGACAUUCAGCACGGGCAGCCAUGCUCUUCCCGGCACCCAGAAAAGGCCCAGGGUGCGGACUCCUGGGCGUGGUCAUGAGAAGCGCUUCCGAUUCAGCCUCUUCUCUUCUUGUUUCAGGACCGUGCCUCAGAGGAUGUGGAGCCAUUUCUGGAAAGUAUCAACGCAGGGACUUUUUGUGGCCAUGUUCUGGCCCCUCAUCCCUCAGUUUGUUUGCAACUGUUUGUUUUACUGGGCCCUGUACUUUAACCCAAUUAUUAACAUUGAUCUUGUGGUCAAGGAACUCCGGCGGCUGGAAACCCAGGUGUUGUGACUGGCACUGCCCAGGCUGAGACUCUUCAAGUCCCGCUGACGUCUGAGCUUUGAUGCUUAAGAGGGUGUGAACACAGCAGAUGUGAAAUGUCAUCUCGGAAGACUGGCCUUGCAGAAAUAGGCCUACAUCCAAAAUAUUCUCUUGUGACUCCAUGAACCAUUCAUUAACCCUUUGUAUCUUUGAGUGAAGAUUUUACUCAAAAGUUGCAUCUGGAAGUUUGAAUAAAUUACUUGAAAUAAAAAUAAAGAUUUUUAUACAGAUAAAA